GGGGGUGUUUUGGAUUCGACAGGCGCUUCGGAGCGGAUAAAAAGCAUACCGCAGGUUACGUCUUGCGUCAACAACGUAAAAUUAAAUUUAAACGCAAAAAAUGAAAAAGUAGCAAAAGCUCCGGCUUUUGCACUUGCCGCUUAAUUAGAAUUUAAGCUGUCGCCUUAUCCCCUCCGGCGGAGAUAAGUCCGGCAUCAGAUAAGUCCGGGUACUUUUCUGUAAAAAGGAUGUAUUACAGAAAGGACUGCUCAUCCUUCGGUCCGCGCCGCUCUGCCGACCGUACUCGCGGAUAACCCAAAAAACAAAUCGGCUAAGUAUGUAGAAAGUAUCCGAGCCACGCGUCUGAACAGGGGUUCGAUUCCCCUCACCUCCACCA
Molecule: transfer-messenger RNA, 376 nt
Filed under: Clostridiales bacterium
Lineage: Bacteria; Bacillati; Bacillota; Clostridia; Eubacteriales
Rfam family: transfer-messenger RNA
About the family: Bacterial tmRNA, also known as 10Sa RNA or SsrA, is named for its dual tRNA and mRNA-like properties.
Source: RNAcentral